UUUGGUCGUGUGCUGGCUGCCGCAGGCCUCCGGGUACCUACCACCCUUUGUUUAUUACACUUUGUUGCUUUGGCAGGCCUGCCCUCGGGCUGCUGGCUCCGGCCGGCGAGCGCUUGCCAGAGGACCUAAACUCUGUUUGUCUAUACUGUCUGAGUACUAUAUAAUAGUUAAAACUUUCAACAACGGAUCUCUUGGUUCUGGCAUCGAUGAAGAACGCAGCGAAAUGCGAUAAGUAAUGUGAAUUGCAGAAUUCAGUGAAUCAUCGAAUCUUUGAACGCACAUUGCGCCCCCUGGUAUUCCGGGGGGCAUGCCUGUCCGAGCGUCAUUACAACCCUCAAGCUCAGCUUGGUAUUGGGCCCCGCCGACCCGGCGGGCCCUAAAGUCAGUGGCGGUGCCGUCCGGCUCCGAGCGUAGUAAUUCUUCUCGCUCUGGAGGUCCGGUCGUGUGCUCGCCAGCAACCCCCAAUUUUUUUCAGGUUGACCUCGGAUCAGGUAGGGAUACCCGCUGAACUUAAGCAUAUCAAUAGGCGGAGGAAUC
RNAcentral lists this ribosomal RNA (537 nucleotides) under Geomyces vinaceus. RNAcentral's name for it is "eukaryotic LSU rRNA". The stretch from base 172 to 325 matches the Rfam family "5.8S ribosomal RNA". The record is from RNAcentral. Lineage: Eukaryota; Fungi; Ascomycota; Leotiomycetes; Thelebolales; Pseudeurotiaceae.